This 485-nucleotide ribosomal RNA is filed under the name Pseudomonas marginalis. RNAcentral describes it as "bacterial SSU rRNA". It matches the Rfam family "Bacterial small subunit ribosomal RNA", at positions 1 to 488 of the family's 1533-position model. Lineage: Bacteria; Pseudomonadati; Pseudomonadota; Gammaproteobacteria; Pseudomonadales; Pseudomonadaceae. The record is from RNAcentral.
UUUAGAGUUUGAUCCUGGCUCAGAUUGAACGCUGGCGGCAGGCCUAACACAUGCAAGUCGAGCGGUAGAGAGAAGCUUGCUUCUCUUGAGAGCGGCGGACGGGUGAGUAAUGCCUAGGAAUCUGCCUGGUAGUGGGGGAUAACGUUCGGAAACGGACGCUAAUACCGCAUACGUCCUACGGGAGAAAGCAGGGGACCUUCGGGCCUUGCGCUAUCAGAUGAGCCUAGGUCGGAUUAGCUAGUUGGUGGGGUAAUGGCUCACCAAGGCGACGAUCCGUAACUGGUCUGAGAGGAUGAUCAGUCACACUGGAACUGAGACACGGUCCAGACUCCUACGGGAGGCAGCAGUGGGGAAUAUUGGACAAUGGGCGAAAGCCUGAUCCAGCCAUGCCGCGUGUGUGAAGAAGGUCUUCGGAUUGUAAAGCACUUUAAGUUGGGAGGAAGGGCCAUUACCUAAUACGUGAUGGUUUGGACGUCCGCAGAAAC